This 520-nucleotide ribosomal RNA is filed under the name uncultured Glomeromycotina. RNAcentral's name for it is "SSU rRNA". It matches the Rfam family "Eukaryotic small subunit ribosomal RNA", at positions 569 to 1091 of the family's 1831-position model. Lineage: Eukaryota; Fungi; Glomeromycota. The record is from RNAcentral.
AGCAGCCGCGGUAAUUCCAGCUCCAAUAGCGUAUAUUAAAGUUGUUGCAGUUAAAAAGCUCGUAGUUGAAUUUCGGGGUUAGUAGGUUGGUCAUGCCUCUGGUAUGUACUGGUCUCACUGAUUCCUCCUUCCUGAUGAACCUUAAUGCCAUUAAUUUGGUGUUUUGGGGAAUUUGGACUGUUACUUUGAAAAAUUAGAGUGUUUAAAGCAAGCUAACGCUUGAAUACAUUAGCAUGGAAUAAUGAAAUAGGACGUUCGAUCCUAUUUUGUUGGUUUCUAGGAUUGACGUAAUGAUUAAUAGGGAUAGUUGGGGGCAUUAGUAUUCAAUUGUCAGAGGUGAAAUUCUUGGAUUUAUUGAAGACUAACUACUGCGAAAGCAUUCGCCAAGGAUGUUUUCAUUAAUCAAGAACGAAAGUUAGGGGAUCGAAGACGAUCAGAUACCGUCGUAGUCUUAACCAUAAACUAUGCCGACUAGGGAUCGGAUGAUGUUAAUUUUUUAAUGACUCAUUCGGCGCCUUAC